This 442-nucleotide ribosomal RNA is filed under the name uncultured bacterium. RNAcentral's name for it is "partial 16S ribosomal RNA". It matches the Rfam family "Bacterial small subunit ribosomal RNA", at positions 338 to 795 of the family's 1533-position model. The record is from RNAcentral.
CCUACGGGUGGCAACAGUGGGGAAUAUUGGGCAAUGGGCGCAAGCCUGACCCAGCAAUGCCGCGUGAAGGAAGAAGGCUCUCGGGUUGUUAACCUUCUUGACAGGGGAAGAGCAGAAGACGGCAUCCUGAAAACAAGCCACGGCUAAAUACGUGCCAGCCGCCGCGGUCAAACGCAGGUGGCAAGCGUUGUCCGGAUUUACUGGGUGUAAAGGGCGUGUAUGCGGGAAGGCAAGGCAGAUGUGAAAUCUGGAGGCUCAACCCCCAAAUUGCAGUUGAAACUGGUUUUCUUGAGUACUGGAGAGGCAGGCGGAAUGCGUGGUGUAGCGGUGAAAUGCGUAGAUAUAACGAAGAACACCGGUGGCGAAGGCAGUCUGCUGGACAGCAACUGACGGUGAGGCGCGAAAGCGUGGGGAGCAAACAGGAUUAGAUACCCCUGUAGUC